AAGUCGUAACAAGGUAACCGUAGGUGAACCUGCGGUUGGAUCAUUAACAAAUGGAAAAGGACUUCAGUCUGGUUUCGUUCGUUCGUUCGUUCAAGUGAACAUUUUGUGAACUGUAAAGUCUCUGGCGGCUGGGUGCAACUAACCUUAGGGCCAUAUUGCAUCUGUCAACCGCCAACCAUCUGUUUUGACUUGAUGUAUUUAAUUUUUUCAUCUAACAUUUACUUGUAUAAAUAUACAAACAACUUUUGGCAACGGAUCUCUUGGCUCUC
This 269-nucleotide unclassified non-coding RNA is filed under the name Spizellomyces sp. Its description in RNAcentral is "partial internal transcribed spacer region". The stretch from base 1 to 46 matches the Rfam family "Eukaryotic small subunit ribosomal RNA", at positions 1786 to 1831 of the family's 1831-position model. Lineage: Eukaryota; Fungi; Chytridiomycota; Chytridiomycetes; Spizellomycetales; Spizellomycetaceae. The record is from RNAcentral.